UACGUAGGUGGCAAGCGUUGUUCGGAAUUAUUGGGCGUAAAGGGCGCGUAGGCGGUUUGUUAAGUCAGCUGUGAAAGCCCGGGGCUCAACCCCGGAGGGUCAGCUGAUACUGGCAGGCUAGAGUACAGAAGAGGUAACUGGAAUUCCCGGUGUAGCGGUGAAAUGCGUAGAUAUCGAGAGGAACACCUGCGGCGAAGGCGGGUUGCUGGGCUGAUACUGACGCUGAGGCGCGAAAGCCAGGGGAGCGAACGGG
RNAcentral lists this ribosomal RNA (253 nucleotides) under uncultured bacterium. Its description in RNAcentral is "partial 16S ribosomal RNA". It matches the Rfam family "Bacterial small subunit ribosomal RNA", at positions 524 to 776 of the family's 1533-position model. The record is from RNAcentral.